GGGAUUGCCCCAGUAACGGCGAGUGAAGCGGCAACAGCUCAAAUUUGAAAUCUGGCCCCCCCGCGGGCCCGAGUUGUAAUUUGCAGAGGAUGCUUUUGGCGCGGCGCCUUCCGAGUGCCCUGGAACGGGACGCCAUAGAGGGUGAGAGCCCCGUCUGGUCGGACGCCCAGCCUCUGUAAAGCUCCUUCGACGAGUCGAGUAGUUUGGGAAUGCUGCUCUAAACGGGAGGUAUAUGUCUUCUAAAGCUAAAUACUGGCCAGAGACCGAUAGCGCACAAGUAGAGUGAUCGAAAGAUGAAAAGCACUUUGAAAAGAGGGUUAAACAGUACGUGAAAUUGUUGAAAGGGAAGCGCUUGUGACCAGACUCGGGCGCGGCGAAUCACCCGGCGUUCUCGCCGGUGCACUUCGACGCGCCCGGGCCAGCAUCAGCUCGCCGCGGGGGACAAAGGCGCCGGGAACGUGGCUCCCCAGGGAGUGUUAUAGCCCGGCGCGCAACGCCCCGCGGCGGACUGAGGUUCGCGCGUCCGCAAGGAUGCUGGCGUAAUGGUCACCAGUGACCCGUCUUGAAACACGGACCAAGGAGUCGUCCUCGUAUGCGAGUGUUCGGGUGUCAAACCCCUACGCGCAAUGAAAGUGAACGCGGGUGAGAGCCUCGCGGCGCAUCAUCGACCGAUCCUGAUGUUCUCGGAUGGAUUUGAGUAGGAGCAUACGGGGCCGGACCCGAAAGAAGGUGAACUAUGCCUGUGUAGGGUGAAGCCAGAGGAAACUCUGGUGGAGGCUCGCAGCGGUUCUGACGUGCAAAUCGAUCGUCAAACAUGGGCAUGGGG
Molecule: ribosomal RNA, 826 nt
Filed under: Ophiocordyceps sinensis
Lineage: Eukaryota; Fungi; Ascomycota; Sordariomycetes; Hypocreales; Ophiocordycipitaceae
Description: LSU rRNA
Rfam family: Eukaryotic large subunit ribosomal RNA
Source: RNAcentral